This 486-nucleotide ribosomal RNA is filed under the name uncultured bacterium. Its description in RNAcentral is "partial 16S ribosomal RNA". It matches the Rfam family "Bacterial small subunit ribosomal RNA", at positions 28 to 507 of the family's 1533-position model. The record is from RNAcentral.
GAUGAACGCUGGCGGCGUGCUUAACACAUGCAAGUCGAACGGAAAGGCCCAAGCUUGCUUGGGUACUCGAGUGGCGAACGGGUGAGUAACACGUGGGUGAUCUGCCCUGCACUUCGGGAUAAGCCUGGGAAACUGGGUCUAUUACCGGAUAGGACUAUGGUUUGGAUGCCAUUGUGUACAGUUUUUUCGGUGUGGGAUGAGCUGGCGGCCUAUGAGCUUGUUGGUGGGGUAAUGGCCUACCAAGGCGUCGACGGGUAGCCGGCCUGAGAGGGUGUACGGCCACGCGAGGACUGAGACACAGAUUGGACUCGUGCGACAGGCAGGAGUGCUGAGGGAUGGAGAAGGGGCGAAUGUUGGACACUGGAAUGAAGCGUGAGGGAGGAAGGCCGCGUGGGGGAAGAGGGCCUUCGGGUGGUAAGAACCUUUCGGCAGGAACACAGCGUGUUUGUGACGGUACCUGGAGAAGAAGCACCGGCUAACUACGUG